UAGAGAGAGACAUGCGCGCAUAUCAAUAAGCGGAGGAAAAGAAACUAACUAGGAUUCCCUCAGUAACGGCGAGUGGAGCGGGAAGAGCUCAAAUUUGAAAUCUUCAAGGUUUUACCUUGACGAAUUGUAGUUUAAAGAAGUGUUUUCUGUUGGAGUUUUGGUAAAAGUUCUUUGGAAUAGGACAUCAUAGAGGGUGAGAAUCCCGUAUUUGACCAUUAUUUCCAGCUUUGUGAUACACUUUCAAAGAGUCGGAUUGUUUGGGAAUGCAGUCCAAAAUGGGUGGUAAAUUUCAUCUAAAGCUAAAUAUUGGCGAGAGACCGAUAGCGAACAAGUACCGUGAGGGAAAGAUGAAAAGAACUUUGAAAAGAGAGUUAAACAGUACGUGAAAUUGUCAAAAGGGAAGCGUUUGACACCAGUGUUGUUUUUCUGAAAAUCAAUUAAAGAACUGUUUAUGCUAAGUUGUUUAGACUUUAUCAGCUAACUGUUUAGUUUUGAGCUUUUCUUUAAUGCACUUUUCAGUUAACAAGUCAACAUCAAUUUCUUUUGCUGUAAAAAAGCUUGAGGAAGGUGGCUUGAGAUUCGUCUUAAGUGUUUAUAGCCUCUUGCCUAUGCAGUCGGAGAGAUUGAGGUCUGCAGCGUAGAUCCUUCGGGGCUAAAUGCAUUUGUGCUAAGUUAUAGCAUUUUAUAGACAACUUGUUGACUAUGAUUUGUCUUGUAGCUUACUCGCUUAUGUUAUUUUACCUACGCUUAGGAUGUUGAGCGCAUGUCUCUCUCU
RNAcentral lists this ribosomal RNA (775 nucleotides) under uncultured Neocallimastigales. RNAcentral describes it as "partial large subunit ribosomal RNA". It matches the Rfam family "Eukaryotic large subunit ribosomal RNA", at positions 23 to 616 of the family's 3401-position model. Lineage: Eukaryota; Fungi; Neocallimastigomycota; Neocallimastigomycetes; Neocallimastigales. The record is from RNAcentral.